RNAcentral lists this ribosomal RNA (254 nucleotides) under uncultured bacterium. RNAcentral's name for it is "partial 16S ribosomal RNA". It matches the Rfam family "Bacterial small subunit ribosomal RNA", at positions 524 to 776 of the family's 1533-position model. The record is from RNAcentral.
UACGUAGGGUGCAAGCGUUGUCCGGAAUUAUUGGGCGUAAAGAGCUCGUAGGCGGUUUGUCGCGUCUGCCGUGAAAACCCGAGGCUUAACCUCGUGGCUUGCGGUGGAUACGGGCAGACUAGAGGUAGGUAGGGGAGAAUGGAAUUCCCGGUGUAGCGGUGAAAUGCGCAGAUAUCGGGAGGAACACCGGUGGCGAAGGCGGUUCUCUGGGCCUUACCUGACGCUGAGGAGCGAAAGCGUGGGGAGCGAACAGG